GUUCAGAGUACUGGACAUGCUUCUGUAUCCUCCUCUAUGUAACGGGAUCUCAGUCUGGUUCAGGAUCCUCUCAGCUCCACCUGAACACUGCAAACUGUUCUCACCUGCAGUCGAGCUAAAAGGAACUGUUCUAUCUUGCUCUGGGUGAAUCCAGAGGACAGUAGGUGCAAGGUUUUGUCCAGGAAAAUAUUUAAUCUGGGGAAAUAUAAAUUGUGCCAUUUUCUACUGUGAGAACACAUAAACAUAUAUGUAAGAAAAAUGUUAUAUAAUAGGUAAAGUGUGAUUCUCUCUGAGAUUCUCUCUCUCUCUUUUUAUUUUUUUUAUUUUUUUUUUUGUGCACUAAAAAGCUGGAUGAAUUGUUGUAAUUUGUUGUGCACUAGAUGGCAGACGUGGGUUAAAAGUCAGCUAAUACUCUUGGAAAAGUCUGGUGCCAAUAAUCUGUUCAUGCUGUAGGAAGAAGUGUGAUAGAAACUCUACAGUCAAACAACAACCCAACAAAUAACAAUAUAAAUAUGGCUUUAUAACUGUAUUGACAAAC
Molecule: long non-coding RNA, 538 nt
Organism: Tachysurus fulvidraco (yellow catfish)
Lineage: Eukaryota; Metazoa; Chordata; Actinopteri; Siluriformes; Bagridae
Exons: 3
Source: RefSeq, a predicted model, not a curated record